CCUACGGGCGGCUGCAGUGGGGAAUAUUGGGCAAUGGGCGCAAGCCUGACCCAGCAACGCCGCGUGAAGGAAGAAGGCUUUCGGGUUGUAAACUUCUUUUAUAGGGGACGAGGAGAGUGCCGUUACCUGAAGAAUAGGCCAGGGCUAACUACGUGCAAGCGGCCGCGGUAAUACGUAGGUGGCAAGCGUUAUCCGGAUUUCUUGGGUGUAAAGGGGGGGUGGGCGGGAAAGCAAGUCAUAUGUGAAAACUCAGGGAUCAACCCCGAGCUUGCAUUUGAAACUGUUUUUCUUGAGUGCUGGAGAGGCAAUCGGAAUUCCGGGUGUAGCGGUGAAAUGCGUAGAUAUACGGAGGAACACCAGUGGCGAAGGCGGAUGGCUGGACAGUAACUGACGCUGAGGCGCGAAAGCGUGGGGAGCAAACAGGAUUAGAUACCCCAGUAGUC
This 443-nucleotide ribosomal RNA is filed under the name uncultured bacterium. RNAcentral describes it as "partial 16S ribosomal RNA". It matches the Rfam family "Bacterial small subunit ribosomal RNA", at positions 338 to 795 of the family's 1533-position model. The record is from RNAcentral.